GGGGGCCGCAAGGCUCCCGCUCGUGGAGGGGUUCGCGCACCAUCAGCUUGUUGGCGGGGUAACGGCCCACCAAGGCCUACGGUUAGCUGGUCUGAGAGGAUGACCAGCCCCACUGGGACUGAGAUACUGCCCAGACUCCUACGGGAGGCUGCAGUCGAGGAUCAUUUGCAAUGGGCGAAAGCCUGACAAUGCGACGCUGCGUGGAGGAUGAAGGCCCUCGGGUUGUAAACUCCUGUCAUAGGGGAACAGGCGGACCUACCUAAUACGUAGGCGAGUUGAGUGUACCCUAAGAGGAAUUGGCGGCUAACUCUGUGCCAGCAGCCGCGGUAAUACAGAGGCCAAGAGCGUUGUUCGGAUUUACUGGGCGUAAAAGGGCGCGUAGGCGGUGAGGCGUGUCAAGUGUGAAAUUUCCGGGGCUCAACCCGGGAAAGUGCGCUUGAAACUACCCCACUCGAGUCUGGGAGAGGGAAUCGGAAUGCAGGGUGUAGCGGUGAAAUGCGUUGAUAUCCUGCAGAACACCGGAGGCGAAGGCGGAUUCCUUGAACAGCACUGACGCUGAGGCGCGAAAGUCGGGGGAGCAAACAGGAUUAGAUACCCUGGUAGUCCCGACCUUAAACGGUGCACACUCGGGGUGGGGCCAUUUCACCGGCCCCGUCCCUUAGCUAACGCGUUAAGUGUGCCGCCUGGGGAGUACGGCCGCAAGGCUAAAACUCAAAGAAAUUGACGGGGGCCCGCACAAGCAGAGGAGCAUGUGGCUUAAUUCGAUGCAACGCGAAGAACCUUACCUGGAUUUGACAUCGUCGGCAAUGCCUUAUGAAAGUUUGGCGGAGGUUAUCCGAUAGACAGGUGCUGCAUGGCUGUCGUCAGUUCGUGCCGUGAGGUGUUUGGUUAAGUCCACCAACGAACGCAACCCCUUUGUGAUGUUGCCAGCGGGUCAAGCCGGGAACUCGUCACAUACUGCCUGUUUACGCAGGAGGAAGGUGGGGAUGACGUCAAGUCAGUAUGGCCCUUACAUCCAGGGCUGCACACGUGCUACAAUGGCGCAUACAGAGCGACGCAAGACCGCAAGGUGGAGCCAAUCGCAGAGAGUGCGCCUCAGUUCAGAUCGGGGUCUGCAACCCGACCCCGUGAAGUCGGAUUUGCUAGUAACGGCGUAUCAGCUACGACGCCGUGAAUGCGUUCCCGGGCCUUGUACACACCGCCCGUCA
Molecule: ribosomal RNA, 1208 nt
Filed under: uncultured bacterium
Lineage: Bacteria
Description: bacterial SSU rRNA
Rfam family: Bacterial small subunit ribosomal RNA
Source: RNAcentral